CUAUGUUGUUCUUGUUCAGCAACAGCACGCCUUCUUUGAAACCAUGGCAUAAAGUUGGGUCCUUUUAGAAACCGUCUGUAUAAGUCCAACCAAUUAGAUCUCAUCCGCUUUGAUAAGAACUUCCCCACACCUCUUGCUGAUAGGCUUGCCAAGAAUUCAAAAGUGUUAAAUGGGGGGAGAGGAGGAAGGUUAACAAAUGGAGAAGACCCUUCUGACGGUGUGGUUGCUCUAAAUUAUGGGCCAAAAGGAGCCAAGAAGUUGGUGGUGAGCUCCAAGAAAUGCUGUCGCAAUAUCUCAUUAUUGACAACUGACAUUGACUCCUCAACCCUUGGAGACAUCCCAGCAUCAAUGAGUCUAUUCAAAAUAGAAGUGUCUGGCUUUGUUGUUGCAGUAUAAGUGCUCCAAAUGGCUUCCUUAUGUUCUGUCAUAAGGCAAAGAGGACCAUCUCUUCUUAAUUUAACAGCAUUUAACAGUCUUGAAGGAGAAAACUUCUUUAAGGAAAGCUGUUGAAGACCCAAUCCUUCAGGUCUUCCAGGCAUCCUACCAGAAGAGGACCUGUUUGAAAAGGGAAGCCGGUUUGAAUUUGGAGCAGGGCUUCCAACCGAAACAAUGUGGGGAAUAUUACGAAGUGCUUUGAGGAAAAACAGGUUUGUCACUCCCAAAACAAUGGGAGGGAAUGAGUCUCCUUGAAGUGAAUUCAAACAAGCAAAUUCAGGGUCAUGGAUGGUGAAAUAUGGCCUAAAAUCAACACUAUAUAACAGUGGCGCAACCAAACUUACAAGACUAGCAACUGCCUCACUGCACUGGGAAGGUGUUGGUCCUAUGAUAAGAAUGGGUUCACCAAUAAGUAACAACUCCCAUAACACCCAAAGUUGCAAUAAAAUUCCCCGGAAUGUACCAAAAAUAUCAGAAUCAUGAAAAAGUCCCUGUGGUACUGACUGAUUUGUUGGAAGAAAAGGAGCUAUAGAAGAAGCAGACUCUUCAAACAUCCCAUUUUCCAGGGGCAAGCUAUGAGCAGGUGGCAGGUUAACUUUAAGCAUGGCAUUCCCAAUAGAAAGCUCCACUACAUGGCAUUCCCAAUAGGAAGCUCCAUUAGCUUACCAGGUACUGGGGCAGGCCACAUUGAAACAUAAGCAGCAAUAUGCUCAAGAGCUUUCUUUCCCAUGUCAAAAUAUAAAGGACCCAUGAUUUGUAACAAAGGUCUGAACACACCAGAGUACGGAUUAUGAGAUAAUAUCACUACAGAUUUUUGUUCCCCACCCCGCUUUAGCCUCUCAUCAUGUCUUUGCCUAUUAAACACAUAACCGUACAAGUAUUUCAACCCUUUGUCAUUUUUCCUAAUCUUUGUUCUUGGAGUCGACUUCUCCUCUGUGGACAUUGAAGAUGCUUCUUUAUCAUCGAUUCCUGUUAUCUCAGGUGCAGUCACAUUGCUCACAUUGCUUUUUUCAGAAGCCUUCCGUCUCCGGAUACGGAAAAAAAAUAUACAGUCAUGAAUGCUUGAACGGUUCUGGUGCUGGGAAAUAGAAUCUGGAAAUGAACUAAAAGCAACAUCGAGUUCUUCUUCAUUUGUGAGUAGACCAGGUGGAUAACACUCUUCAAUAAGCUGACCUUGUUCAAGAUCAAAUCUAAUGAUACAAAAAGUAACCACCCAUUGCUGCAAAGCUUCUGGAUCAGGUCUUAAAUUAUGCUCUGGCUUAACAGAAAAUGAAGGAGAUCGACUCAUUUCUAGGUUAUUCAACAGCCUAACUCAUCCAUCCAAAAAACCAAUUCUCUCCUUUUCAACCACAAUUUCCUGUAUUAUUUUCAUGGUUUUUACAGGAUGUUGACCGCUCCUCGGCUAUUCAGCUGUUUUCCAGUCACUUUCUUCUGGGAUUACUCCUCCUAAGCAAAUGUAAUGAGAAAAUCAAAGCCUGAACGGAAGAAUCCAGAUUAGUUAUUGCAUGAAUCCUCUAGAUCAGCCAAAUAUGGAUACCCAAUUGGCCAAACACAAAUGGCUCUUGGUUAGAAUAGAAGAAGGUAGAAGAAAAUGGAGAUCUCGGUGAGCUUCCUCACGAAACACAGUAACUGUAUGAAUUGCAGAUAGUUUAUGCAAUUAUGAACGUAGAUGACGAAUGAUUUCAGCUAUAUUUCGCUUAACUAUCCAAUAAUUUAAGGGUUUUUGUUUUUUAAAUGGAUAAAUUCGUGGGCUUUACAGAAAAAUAAGUACGUGCUUAAGGUCUCUUUCAAUCCCGGCGAUCUUAUUUUUGCCUGAAUAAGGAAAGAGGAAAGGCAGUUGCUCCACUCUCUUCUUUAUCGGG
RNAcentral lists this unclassified non-coding RNA (2297 nucleotides) under Hevea brasiliensis (rubber tree). The record is from RNAcentral. Lineage: Eukaryota; Viridiplantae; Streptophyta; Magnoliopsida; Malpighiales; Euphorbiaceae.